GGAAAAGUGCCCGAAAAUAAGGACCUUCUUGAUAGGAAGACUAACAUGGGCUUAACCCCAUCUUUUCCU
RNAcentral lists this transfer RNA (69 nucleotides) under Callulina kreffti (Krefft's secret frog). RNAcentral's name for it is "tRNA-Ile". The record is from RNAcentral. Lineage: Eukaryota; Metazoa; Chordata; Amphibia; Anura; Brevicipitidae.